This 543-nucleotide ribosomal RNA is filed under the name Salmonella enterica subsp. enterica serovar Agona. RNAcentral describes it as "bacterial SSU rRNA". It matches the Rfam family "Bacterial small subunit ribosomal RNA", at positions 993 to 1533 of the family's 1533-position model. The record is from RNAcentral. Lineage: Bacteria; Pseudomonadati; Pseudomonadota; Gammaproteobacteria; Enterobacterales; Enterobacteriaceae.
GAAGUUUUCAGAGAUGAGAAUGUGCCUUCGGGAACCGUGAGACAGGUGCUGCAUGGCUGUCGUCAGCUCGUGUUGUGAAAUGUUGGGUUAAGUCCCGCAACGAGCGCAACCCUUAUCCUUUGUUGCCAGCGAUUCGGUCGGGAACUCAAAGGAGACUGCCAGUGAUAAACUGGAGGAAGGUGGGGAUGACGUCAAGUCAUCAUGGCCCUUACGACCAGGGCUACACACGUGCUACAAUGGCGCAUACAAAGAGAAGCGACCUCGCGAGAGCAAGCGGACCUCAUAAAGUGCGUCGUAGUCCGGAUUGGAGUCUGCAACUCGACUCCAUGAAGUCGGAAUCGCUAGUAAUCGUGGAUCAGAAUGCCACGGUGAAUACGUUCCCGGGCCUUGUACACACCGCCCGUCACACCAUGGGAGUGGGUUGCAAAAGAAGUAGGUAGCUUAACCUUCGGGAGGGCGCUUACCACUUUGUGAUUCAUGACUGGGGUGAAGUCGUAACAAGGUAACCGUAGGGGAACCUGCGGUUGGAUCACCUCCUUACCU